GGCCUGUCUUGAACUGUGACCUUGUCUCCACAAACUGGUUAAUCAAGAUAUAACUUUCGCAUAACGGGAACAGCCUUUUUGCAAACUCCUGAAGAGCUAAAUCCAUAGAUGCAUCAACCUGAAAGGUUAUGUCAUCCUCCUUCCCUCGGACUUUCUUGAUCGAAAUAUAGCGUCCUUCAAUUCCAAUAAGGGUAGAUAGAAGAUCAUCAAUAACAAUCAAUUCCUGAAUGGUGGCAUGGUAACAACCUAUAGCUUUAUCUGCUCCGGAACUUGAUUCCGCAGAAAACCCCUUGUACUCAGAAGUUCCAGACGAAAUCUUUGUUUCCUGAUAAAAUUGGCCAGUAAGAAAGGGACGAUCGAGAUUCCAACCAGGAGUUGAUGAGCAUAAAGAAAUUGCAGCGGCUGAAUCCAUGUAAUUCGUCUCAAAUCUUGAAGUUGAAGUAAAUGGGGAUGACCCAACUCAGUUUCAGCAGGAAUUGCUCCACCGGCACUUCCGGUGACUGUUUGAAACCGUAGACACGACCACAAUGCCACCGCAGUUCAAUUCAGAACUUAAACUUUCAAGAUUUCACAAAGUGUUUCUCAUUUUAGGGUUGAUGUUCUGAUUAGCUGAAGAUGAAAUUUUUGGGAAAGCAAAUUCAGUCUCACAGUUUA
RNAcentral lists this unclassified non-coding RNA (654 nucleotides) under Hevea brasiliensis (rubber tree). Lineage: Eukaryota; Viridiplantae; Streptophyta; Magnoliopsida; Malpighiales; Euphorbiaceae. The record is from RNAcentral.